UGGAACUUCAACCAAAUUUGCAUCAAAGCAUCUAGAAUGAAACAAAGAAUUCUAGAUGAUUAAAUUCCAAAACUUUGUAGCAGUUGCAAUAUAGGGUGCAUAGGCCAAAACUUUACAGAUGUGUGAAGAAUGGGUGGAACCAAUUAUAUCUACAUGGCAUAACCAUGACUAUACUCCAAUGGUUUGCAAGAAACAUGAGAAAUUAUAACAUAAUGAAAAAAACAAUGGAGACAACAUUAGAGAACUUUUGGCAACAGAUAAAGCAAGUACAUCAAAGGUCACUUUGUGUCAAAUGGACUUCAAAGAAUAUAAAGGGAGUAGAUAAGAAGUUCAUUUCUCCUACCAUAAGAUGAACCAGUGAAUAUUCCCAUGAGGAAAGGUUGUAGAUGAGUCACUCAGACACACACACACGGAGUCAGGAAAAGUGGUUCUAAAUAUUUUGAUGAAAUUCAUGAAAAGCUUUUAUAGUGAACUUGGCCAUUAAGAACUUUUACCUUAAUCAUUGAUAUAGUUUUCACAGCAAAAGAAACCCUUUUGUCCCAGGUGCAAGUGCAUAGAUCUUUCGGAGUGUCCACAUGGUACGCCAAAAGUCGGGUGACAAACAUACCAAGAG
RNAcentral lists this long non-coding RNA (613 nucleotides) under Phoenix dactylifera (date palm). Its description in RNAcentral is "long non-coding RNA (PDAC_LNC020627)". Lineage: Eukaryota; Viridiplantae; Streptophyta; Magnoliopsida; Arecales; Arecaceae. The record is from RNAcentral.